GUGUGUGUGUGUGUGUGUGUGUGUAUCACUUCUUCUUUAUCAUUCAUCAAUCAAUGUACACAUGAGCUGUUUCCAUAAUUUGGCUAAUGUAGAUAAUGCUGCAAUAAAUAUUGGGGUGCAUAUAUCCCUUUGUGUAUUUGUGUAUUUUUUGGGUAAAUACCUGGAAGUGCAAUUGGUGAAUCACAGGGAAGUCCUAUUUUUUAACUUUUUGAGGAGCUUCCCUACAGUUUUCCAGAUUGGCUGCACCAGUUUGC
This is a long non-coding RNA of Herpailurus yagouaroundi (jaguarundi), 254 nucleotides long. RefSeq lists it as uncharacterized. The record is from RefSeq and is a predicted model, not a curated record. The transcript is spliced from 3 exons. Lineage: Eukaryota; Metazoa; Chordata; Mammalia; Carnivora; Felidae.